RNAcentral lists this long non-coding RNA (100 nucleotides) under Aotus nancymaae (Ma's night monkey). RNAcentral describes it as "ZEB2 antisense RNA 1 conserved region 3 (ENSANAG00000004770.1)". It matches the Rfam family "ZEB2 antisense RNA 1 conserved region 3". The record is from RNAcentral. Lineage: Eukaryota; Metazoa; Chordata; Mammalia; Primates; Aotidae.
CUCCCUCCUUUCCCCCCCCCCCCAACCUGCCGUCAAGCCUUUGGCAUCAUUAUCCUCAUCACUAAAUCCUACAGAGUACAGGGCGGAAAACCGUGCACAC